RNAcentral lists this ribosomal RNA (440 nucleotides) under uncultured Alphaproteobacteria bacterium. RNAcentral's name for it is "bacterial SSU rRNA". It matches the Rfam family "Bacterial small subunit ribosomal RNA", at positions 338 to 795 of the family's 1533-position model. Lineage: Bacteria; Pseudomonadati; Pseudomonadota; Alphaproteobacteria. The record is from RNAcentral.
CCUACGGGAGGCAGCAGUGGGGAAUAUUGGACAAUGGGGGAAACCCUGAUCCAGCAAUGCCGCGUGCGUGAUGAAGGCCUUCGGGUUGUAAAGCGCUUUUAUUGGUGACGAUAAUGACGGUAACCAAUGAAUAAGCCCCGGCUAACUUCGUGCCAGCAGCCGCGGUAAUACGAAGGGGGCUAGCGUUGUUCGGAAUGACUGGGCGUAAAGGGCGCGUAGGCGGUAUAAUACGUUUGGUGUGAAAGUCCUGGGCUUAACCUGGGGACUGCACUGAAUACGGUUAUACUGGAGUGCGAGAGGGGAUAAGGGAAUUGUGCGUGUAGAGGUGAAAUUCGUAGAUAUGCACAAGAACACCGGUGGCGAAGGCGCUUAUCUGGCUCGCAACUGACGCUAAGGCGCGAAAGCGUGGGGAGCAAACAGGAUUAGAUACCCCUGUAGUC